GUUGUUCGGAAUUACUGGGUGUAAAGGGUUCGUAGGCGGUGUGGCAAGUCGGGAGUGAAAUUUCUGGGCUCAACUCAGAGACUGCUUCCGAAACUGCUGUGCUUGAGUGUGGGAGAGGCGCGUGGAAUUGCAGGUGUAGCGGUGAAAUGCGUAGAUAUCUGCAGGAACACCCGUGGCGAAAGCGGCGCGCUGGACCACUACUGACGCUGAGGAACGAGAGCUAGGGGAGCAAACAGG
This 237-nucleotide ribosomal RNA is filed under the name uncultured bacterium. RNAcentral's name for it is "partial 16S ribosomal RNA". It matches the Rfam family "Bacterial small subunit ribosomal RNA", at positions 540 to 776 of the family's 1533-position model. The record is from RNAcentral.